UUGAAGAAAAUAGAUAAGGAGUUGAUUUUGAAGAACGAAAAUGCGAAAUAGAGUUGGUAGCAGAUUGGUAGCUGAACAAUGUCAUGAUGAAGAAGUACGACCCUACAUUCACCAAUUAAUGAAAACUCAGAGCUGCUAGCCAGUCCAAACAUCUGAGGAUAACAAUUCUAUUGACACUGUUGUUGAGCUGAAUAAUGAGCCAGGUCCUUCAAAGACAAGUAAAGCUCGUGGACCUACUUUGUUAAAAGAUGUUUGGAAUCUACCGCCGGGGAAGACAAUUGUUGUGCCGUUUAAUAGUCGUAAUCAAUCAAUUGGAAAAGAGGGACGAAAGCUGGCUAGCUUUCUAGGCAUCAUUGCUAGAAAUGCGACUUGAAGGCUAUGUAUGUGACCAAAUAUAAGACCAAAGAUGCCUUGAUGAAAAAUAAACCAGCUCACAUACCAAGAGAUCAAUGGAAUGGUCUCGUCUCGUAUUGGCUUUCUGAAAAAGCAAAGAAGCGUAGUCAAACAAAUAGAAUCAGUAGAGCUAACCAAAAAAUGCCUCACACGGGUGGAUCCAAAAGCAUAGCAACCUUGAUGAAUGAACAGGCUAUAGAUGGAAUAGAGCCCACACGUGCAAAAAUCUACAUAUUAACUCACAUAGAGCGUAGAGAUGGUAGACCAUUGGAUGAGGAGUCUUCAAAUGCCGCUGACAUGAUGAAAGAGAAGUUGAGUAAUGAUGAGAUACUUGAGGAACAAUCUCAUGACAGUGUUGCUUGGGAAGGCGAUGCGCAUUCACAAGUGUUGGGAAAAGAAAAAAGUGGUUAUGUCCGUGGUUUAGGACUUGGUCCAACCCCUUCUCUGUUAUGGGGCAGUAAAUCAUUCUUACGAAAUGUUUCUGUUGAUGGUUUGUGUAACGAGGCUGCAAAAAAGUUAGAGCAAGAGAUAAAUGAGUUGAACAAAAAGCAGGAUGAAGAAAUGGUUUUGAUGAGAAAAAAUCAAGAGAUGCUAGUUUCAGAAUUAUCAUGGAUGAGAAAAGUCAUGUGGAAAUAUGCUCCUACUGAAUUAAGCAGGCCUCAAAACAAUGGAAGUACUACUAGACAGGUUAUCCGAUUUCAAAGUUUUAAAACUUCCUUUCAUAAAUUUUAGCUGUACAAGAUAAUUUUUUCAUCUAGUGUGUUGAUUUUACUAGGUUUCUGAUGCCAAUAGUGGCAAUGAACAAGCAAUAUAAGCACUGCUCAAGUCGUCAAGUGUCAACAAGUUCUUUCUUCUCACAGGCGAGAUAUUCAUUCAAAUGGUGAGCUUGUUCAAGGAAUGGCAUUGAUCCAGAAAGCUGACACAUUUUGCAUUAGGGAAAAAAAUAGUGGCUUAAUUGCCUUGUUUUCUUCAUUGUUGAACACAUUUUUUCUAUUGUGAUGAUUCAUACUUUCUAUUGUGAAUGUAUUAAGAUUGUUUGUUCUUAUUUUAAAUGAAUGACAUUGUUUUGAGUUUGGUA
Molecule: RNA transcript, 1471 nt
Organism: Solanum tuberosum (potato)
Lineage: Eukaryota; Viridiplantae; Streptophyta; Magnoliopsida; Solanales; Solanaceae
Exons: 6
Source: RefSeq, a predicted model, not a curated record